GACGAACGCUGGCGGCGUGCUUAACACAUGCAAGUCGAACGGAAAGGCCCUGCUUUUGUGGGGUGCUCGAGUGGCGAACGGGUGAGUAACACGUGAGUAACCUGCCCUUGACUUUGGGAUAACUUCAGGAAACUGGGGCUAAUACCGGAUAGGAGCUCCUGCUGCAUGGUGGGGGUUGGAAAGUUUCGGCGGUUGGGGAUGGACUCGCGGCUUAUCAGCUUGUUGGUGGGGUAGUGGCUUACCAAGGCUUUGACGGGUAGCCGGCCUGAGAGGGUGACCGGACAAAUUGGGACUGAGAUACGGCCCAGAAUCCUACGGGAGGCAGGAGUGGGGAAUAUUGCACAAUGGGCGGAAGCCUGAUGCAGCAACGCCGCGUGCGGGAUGACGGCCUUCGGGUUGUAAACCGCUUUCGCCUGUGACGAAGCGUGAGUGACGGUAAUGGGUAAAGAAGCACCGGCUAACUACGUG
RNAcentral lists this ribosomal RNA (468 nucleotides) under uncultured bacterium. RNAcentral's name for it is "partial 16S ribosomal RNA". It matches the Rfam family "Bacterial small subunit ribosomal RNA", at positions 28 to 507 of the family's 1533-position model. The record is from RNAcentral.